UCAAGAAUGAAGCAGCGAACCCUCGCGUAUCUUCCCGGCAUCUUUACCAGAAGUAGAUUCCAUCUCAAGAAACCGAUUUGCCUUGCACUUGUUUAUGGGAUGGAGAUGGCUUCUUUCCUUAAACCUCAGGAACCAACUUCCACUAGCUUCGAACUUUUCUUCUGGAGCUUCCUCACCUCUCUCAGCCUUCAUAGAAUUAAAGAGAGUUAGGGUCUUGAACUGGAUUAGGCUUUGGUUGAAGGGAAUAUUGUGGCUGGUUAGAUUUAUCCAGACCACUAAAACUUUCUUUAUAUCAACAAUAAGGCUGUUUCACUUUCUUAUCAUUUGUGGGUUCACUGGCAUAGAACUUUAAAUUGAUUUCAAUAAUGCUUCCUUUGCAUUCACAGCUUGGCUAACUGUAGAUGCAAGAGGCCUAGCUUUCAGCCUAUCUUGCCUUUCAGCAUGCCUUAAGUUUAAUCACUUCUAGCUUUUGAUUUAAAGUGAAACACAUUUGACUCUUCACUUGAACACUCAGAGACCACUGUAGUGUUAUUAAUUGGCCUAACUUGAAUAUUGCUGGGUUUCAGGAAACAGGAGGCCUGAUUAUGGGGAGCAGGUAAGAGGGUUGUAGGGAGACGACCUGUUGGUGGAGCAGUCAGAACACAUGAUGCUUAUUGAUUCAGUUUGCUGUUUUAUAUAGAUAUGUGGUUUUUGGUGUCCCAAAACAAUUACAAUAGUAACAUCAAAGAUCACUGAUCACAGAUCAUCUUAACAGAUGUAAUAAUAAUGAAAAGAUUUGAAAUAUUGUGAGAAUUACCAAAAUAUGACACAGAGACAUGAAGCGAGCUUUUGGGAAAAUUGUGUCAAUGGACUUGCUCAAUGAAG
RNAcentral lists this long non-coding RNA (864 nucleotides) under Homo sapiens (human). RNAcentral's name for it is "HSALNT0074708". The record is from RNAcentral. Lineage: Eukaryota; Metazoa; Chordata; Mammalia; Primates; Hominidae.